UACGGAGGGGGCUAGCGUUGUUCGGAAUUACUGGGCGUAAAGCGCGCGUAGGCGGACCUGCAAGUCGGGGGUGAAAGCCCGAGGCUCAACCGGGGAACUGCAUCUGAUACUGGAUGGCUUGAGUUCGGGAGAGGGAUGCGGAAUUCCAGGUGUAGCGGUGAAAUGCGUAGAUAUCUGGAGGAACACCGGUGGCGAAGGCGGCAUCCUGGACCGACACUGACGCUGAGGAGCGAAAGCCAGGGGAGCAAACGGG
This 253-nucleotide ribosomal RNA is filed under the name uncultured bacterium. RNAcentral describes it as "partial 16S ribosomal RNA". It matches the Rfam family "Bacterial small subunit ribosomal RNA", at positions 524 to 776 of the family's 1533-position model. The record is from RNAcentral.